Diabrotica virgifera virgifera (western corn rootworm) is the source of this 76-nucleotide small nucleolar RNA. Lineage: Eukaryota; Metazoa; Arthropoda; Insecta; Coleoptera; Chrysomelidae. The record is from RefSeq and is a predicted model, not a curated record.
AAAUUAUGAUGAACAAUUUUUAUACCUGAAAAUAGCUGAAGUUAACUUAAUACGAGCUUUUUAACACUGACAUACC